CCGAUAUUUUUAGGCAACGUGACACUACAGCUAAGUGUUUCAAAACCCAUCCAGUUUGCGAUUCGUAUUAAGAUACAGUCAUUUGAAAAUAUAAGGCGAACAACCGGUAAAAUUUACGUUGGAAUAUGUUUUCAACAAGUCAUCAUUGUUUGAGACAAGUUAAAAUCUUUAAAAAGCAGAGAGAGUUUAUUGCGAUAAUAUGAAGUCUUACCAGGUCACUGAAUGAGUGAGUGGGUUUUUGGGUGAGUGAGUAAGUGGAUGAGUGAGUGUCGGGUGGGUUGGUUGAGUGAGUGAGUGAGUGAGUGGGUAAAUGAGUGAGUGAGUGGGUGAGGACGAGUAUGGUACUUGCAUGAUCCUAACCAGGUAUUCGAACAAACAAUCAGGGGAUUCUGAAACGCGCAAGGGACACAAACAAGUAUCCGUGCAUUCAAUCCGACCGAACCAAGUAAUCACGUGACACUGUGGGCAAUUACUGCAUUUAUUUGCUCAGGAAAAUGGGAAGUGACGUCACUAUUCGCUGGAGUGGAGGUCGUCAA
This is a long non-coding RNA of Haliotis rubra (blacklip abalone), 536 nucleotides long. RefSeq lists it as uncharacterized. NCBI's taxonomy places the organism in Eukaryota, Metazoa, Mollusca, Gastropoda, Lepetellida, Haliotidae. The transcript has 2 exons. The record is from RefSeq and is a predicted model, not a curated record.